CUUAACCGAAUCUCCUCUCAGAUUGACCUCGGAUCAGGUAGGGAUACCCGCUGAACUUAA
RNAcentral lists this ribosomal RNA (60 nucleotides) under Verrucaria saanaensis. RNAcentral's name for it is "partial 28S ribosomal RNA". Lineage: Eukaryota; Fungi; Ascomycota; Eurotiomycetes; Verrucariales; Verrucariaceae. The record is from RNAcentral.